This 460-nucleotide ribosomal RNA is filed under the name uncultured bacterium. Its description in RNAcentral is "partial 16S ribosomal RNA". It matches the Rfam family "Bacterial small subunit ribosomal RNA", at positions 338 to 795 of the family's 1533-position model. The record is from RNAcentral.
CCUACGGGAGGCAGCAGUGAGGAAUAUUGGUCAAUGGACGCAAGUCUGAACCAGCCAUGCCGCGUGCAGGAAGACGGCUCUAUGAGUUGUAAACUGCUUUUGUACGAGGGUAAACGCAGAUACGCGUAUCUGUCUGAAAGUAUCGUACGAAUAAGGAUCGGCUAACUCCGUGCCAGCAGCCGCCGUAAUACGGAGGAUUCAAGCGUUAUCCGGAUUUAUUGGGUUUAAAGGGUGCGUAGGCGGUCUGAUAAGUUAGAGGUGAAAUCCCGGGGCUCAACUUCGGAAUUGCCUCUGAGACUGUCCGGCUAGAGAGUAGUUGAGGUAGGCGGAAUGUAUGGUGUAGCGGUGAAAUGCUUAGAGAUCAUACAGAACACCGAUUGCGAAGGCAGCUUACCAAGCUACUUCUGACGUUGAGGCACGAAAGCGUGGGGAGCAAACAGGAUUAGAUACCCUUGUAGUC